This 253-nucleotide ribosomal RNA is filed under the name uncultured bacterium. RNAcentral describes it as "partial 16S ribosomal RNA". It matches the Rfam family "Bacterial small subunit ribosomal RNA", at positions 524 to 776 of the family's 1533-position model. The record is from RNAcentral.
UACGAGGGGGGCAAGCGUUGUUCGGAAUUAUUGGGCGUAAAGAGCUCGUAGGCGGCCUGUUGCGUCCGCUGUGAAAGCCCGUGGCUUAACUACGGGUCUGCGGUGGAUACGGGCAGGCUAGAGGCUGGUAGGGGCAAGCGGAAUUCCUGGUGUAGCGGUGAAAUGCGCAGAUAUCAGGAGGAACACCGGUGGCGAAGGCGGGUCUCUGGGCAAUAACUGACGCUGAGGAGCGAAAGCGUGGGGAGCAAACAGG